Phascolarctos cinereus (koala) is the source of this 994-nucleotide RNA transcript. RefSeq lists it as uncharacterized. The record is from RefSeq and is a predicted model, not a curated record. NCBI's taxonomy places the organism in Eukaryota, Metazoa, Chordata, Mammalia, Diprotodontia, Phascolarctidae.
UGGCUGGUGGGGACUCCGGCCUCGCCACAGCGGGGAGAGCCGAGGGGCAGGAGGGCGUGAGCGGCGGCGGCUGGACCCAGGGCCCUCCCCACCAAUCUUUCUGCUGAACAUAUACCAGUGGAGGUCAAAGACAGAAGAAAGGCUUCAUAUGUACAAAAAAACCCCAUUGAUAACAGCACUUUUAGUGAUAGCAAAGAACUGGGAACAAAGUUGGUACCCAUCAGUUGGGGACUGGCUGAACUCUGGUUUAUUAACAUAAUGGAAUGUUACUGUGCAAUAAGAAAUGACAAAUGUAUCCAGAGAAUCAUAGAAAGAUCUGUAUGAACUCCUGCAGAAGGAAAAGUGCCAAGAGAACAACAUACAGAUUGAUCACAACAAUAUUACCAAGAGAACAGAUUGAACCCAACAACGUAAAUAGAACACUAAGAGACAACUAAAUUCUAAGUAGUUAUUAAAACAAAUCUUGGUCUCAGAAAAGACAAUGAAGCAUCAGAGAGGGAGCUGACUGUGGAUUUAGAAGUUUGUAGACGUUUCUAGACGCUGUAACUGUGUUGUCAUAUGUUUCUUAACUUCCUAUGUUUAUUUCAAGAAGAAAGUUUAAUUCUCAGGUUGAAGGAAGCAGAGCAGAGAAAUAUCCAGAAAUGACUGUUAUGUAAAAACAAAAAGGAUAAAUAAAAUUUUUAAAAAUUCUUAGAUGUUCUACUUUUACCUGUAUAUUUGCCAUGUUUUCCUCAAUUGAUUUUUAUUUCUAUUUUAUUGUUUUUCUGUGUAGUUUUUUCAUUUUUAAGCAAACUAGUACAUCUACCUAUAAUUACUUCUAUUUGUUUAAUAACUAAAUGUGUAUCUCCUCUGUAUAUUUUAGAGAAAUAUAUUAUUCUGUCAUUCUCUGUGUACAACUAUGGCUUUUUCUGUCUAUAUUUCAUCCUGAAUUUAAUAUGGUAUAUAUUGUGAGGUUUGGAUCUAAAUUUUAAAUAAAAAAUACUUUAUCCCUUUU